This is a non-coding RNA of Nothobranchius furzeri (turquoise killifish), 1096 nucleotides long. The record is from RefSeq and is a predicted model, not a curated record. Lineage: Eukaryota; Metazoa; Chordata; Actinopteri; Cyprinodontiformes; Nothobranchiidae.
CUCGAGAAGAAAGGGACCAAGUCUAUUUGGAGGAGACAAGCGGACCUGAGCCUUAUUGUUUUGAGCUUGUGAGUUGCCUGAAACUCCCAGAACCGACCCAACAGAACCACCUCUGAAUGGUCCUCUGGUGUCUGCAGCUGGUCUCUGGUGUCGUCAGGAUCAGGAGCUUCCGGAAGAAUGUGCCUUUCAAUGACUCUUUCCCCCUUAUUUGUUAUAUUAAUUAAAUAAAUCUCAGUUUAUAUAUUUCCUGUUUUUGUUCAUGUCCAUAAAUACUUAAACAUGCUUGAAAUUAAAAUGAGCUUUUAACAGUGAGGUGCUAGUUUAAUUCAUCACAAUAGAGCUAGUUAAACAUGCCACAAAAAUGUGAUAAUCAAUGUAAUUUAUAAAUAUCCAUUAAAAUAUCAAAACGAAUCUAAAUGAGAUAUUUGGCAGCACAAAAAACUUGUCAAACAUAAUAUUUAUUAUAAUAAUAGUAGGCAGACAGGAGACAGAGCUGAUGGAGGUUCUCAGUCAUCAAAGGAUGGCUGAAGGCUUUCCAGGAACAGGAGAUGUGGUGUUGUCUCUUCUCUCUCUAUUCUGCCAGAUGAGCUGAUAGGUUACAGGUGUGUGAGGACAUCCUCAUGCUGUCAUAACCAGAUGACAGGAGUUAUCAGGUGAUCAGCCAGGCUAAUGAUGAGAUGCAGAAAGAAAAUAAAUCCAGGACAGUGUACAAUAAUAUGUGGUGUUGCUCACCUUAUGUGCUCUUAUAGAAUAUUAACGUGUGCCUGCCUCAUGGUGUAGAGUCCAUAUUUUGCUGAGUGUCCUGCAAUAAUGCAGGUUAUUAGUUAAAUUACUUUUGAUAGCAAAAACAAAAUAUUUAAUGUAAAAGUUAUUUACCAGGUGAAUCAGCUCACACGUCACCACCAAGUGUCACAGGGGCAGAAUCAGUAGCCUCUGUCAUGAUGUAAUCACAUACUUAUUUAAUUGUUAAUAUCUUAAAAAUUCUGAAAUGUUUUAAUUUUUUUUUUUACCUUGAACAGUUCACUGAGCUUGCACUGUCACUGAGGUGGAAGCUGGAAUCAACAGCAGACACCUUACAUCUUGGUCUUUUCAGGGU